GAUGAAGAACGUAGCGAAAUGCGAUAAGUAAUGUGAAUUGCAGAAUUCAGUGAAUCAUCGAACCUUUGAACGCAUCUUGCGCUCCUUGGUAUUCUGAGGAGCAUGCCUGUUUGGGUGUCAUUAAAUUCUCAACUACACUGACUUUGAAUUGGUGUGGCUUGGAUUUGGGGGGAAAAUUGUUGUGGGCUUUUUGUAUAGUCUGCUCCCCUGAAAUUGAUUAGCGGUACCUUUGUGGAACUGUCUACAGGUGUGAUAAUUAUCUACAUCUUAGACAUCUGCUGGAAUGCUGCUUUCUAAACCUUACUUGUAUUGACAAUCUUGACCUCAAAUCAGGUAGGACUACCCGCUGAACUUAAGCAUAUCAAUAAGCGGAGGA
Molecule: unclassified non-coding RNA, 376 nt
Filed under: soil metagenome
Description: partial contains 5.8S ribosomal RNA, internal transcribed spacer 2, and large subunit ribosomal RNA
Rfam family: 5.8S ribosomal RNA (bases 1-120)
Source: RNAcentral